UGGGGAAUAUUGGACAAUGGGCGAAAGCCUGAUCCAGCCAUGCCGCGUGUGUGAAGAAGGUCUUCGGAUUGUAAAGCACUUUAAGUUGGGAGGAAGGGCAUUAACCUAAUACGUUAGUGUUUUGACGUUACCGACAGAAUAAGCACCGGCUAACUCUGUGCCAGCAGCCGCGGUAAUACAGAGGGUGCAAGCGUUAAUCGGAAUUACUGGGCGUAAAGCGCGCGUAGGUGGUUUGUUAAGUUGGAUGUGAAAUCCCCGGGCUCAACCUGGGAACUGCAUUCAAAACUGACUGACUAGAGUAUGGUAGAGGGUGGUGGAAUUUCCUGUGUAGCGGUGAAAUGAGUAGAUAUAGGAAGGAACACCAGUGGCGAAGGCGACCACCUGGACUAAUACUGACACUGAGGUGCGAAAGCGUGGGGAGCAAACA
RNAcentral lists this ribosomal RNA (427 nucleotides) under uncultured bacterium. Its description in RNAcentral is "partial 16S ribosomal RNA". It matches the Rfam family "Bacterial small subunit ribosomal RNA", at positions 355 to 774 of the family's 1533-position model. The record is from RNAcentral.